Molecule: transfer RNA, 73 nt
Filed under: Candidatus Pacearchaeota archaeon
Lineage: Archaea; Nanobdellati
Also listed under: 1 other name
Description: tRNA-Thr
Rfam family: tRNA
About the family: Transfer RNA (tRNA) molecules are approximately 80 nucleotides in length. Their secondary structure includes four short double-helical elements and three loops (D, anti-codon, and T loops).
Source: RNAcentral
GCCUGUGUAGCUCAGCUGGUAGAGCACUUCGUUGGUAACGAAGAGGUCCUGAGUUCAAAUCUCAGCGCAGGCU